CAGCAGUAGCAAUACUGUGGGUGGCGAGUGGCGGACGGGUGAGUAAUGCAUCGGGAUCUACCCAAACGUGGGGGAUAACGUAGGGAAACUUACGCUAAUACCGCAUACGUCCUAUGGGAGAAAGCGGGGGAUCGAAAAACCUCGCGCGGUUGGACGAACCGAUGUGCGAUUAGCUAGUUGGUAGGGUAAUGGCCUACCAAGGCGACGAUCGCUAGCUGGUCUGAGAGGAUGAUCAGCCACACUGGAACUGAGACACGGUCCAGACUCCUACGGGAGGCAGCAGUGGGGAAUAUUGGACAAUGGGCGCAAGCCUGAUCCAGCAAUGCCGCGUGUGUGAAGAAGGCCUUCGGGUUGUAAAGCACUUUUAUCAGGAGCGAAAUACUACCGGCUAAUAUCCGGUGGGGCUGACGGUACCUGAGGAAUAAGCACCGGCUAACUUCGUGCCAGCAGCCGCGGUAAUACGAAGGGUGCAAGCGUUAAUCGGAAUUACUGGGCGUAA
This 499-nucleotide ribosomal RNA is filed under the name Dyella japonica. RNAcentral's name for it is "bacterial SSU rRNA". It matches the Rfam family "Bacterial small subunit ribosomal RNA", at positions 71 to 563 of the family's 1533-position model. The record is from RNAcentral. Lineage: Bacteria; Pseudomonadati; Pseudomonadota; Gammaproteobacteria; Lysobacterales; Rhodanobacteraceae.